AGCUAAUACAUGCAAGUCGAGCGGACAGAUGGGAGCUUGCUCCCUGAUGUUAGCGGCGGACGGGUGAGUAACACGUGGGUAACCUGCCUGUAAGACUGGGAUAACUCCGGGAAACCGGGGCUAAUACCGGAUGCUUGUUUGAACCGCAUGGUUCAAACAUAAAAGGUGGCUUCGGCUACCACUUACAGAUGGACCCGCGGCGCAUUAGCUAGUUGGUGAGGUAAUGGCUCACCAAGGCAACGAUGCGUAGCCGACCUGAGAGGGUGAUCGGCCACACUGGGACUGAGACACGGCCCAGACUCCUACGGGAGGCAGCAGUAGGGAAUCUUCCGCAAUGGACGAAAGUCUGACGGAGCAACGCCGCGUGAGUGAUGAAGGUUUUCGGAUCGUAAAGCUCUGUUGUUAGGGAAGAACAAGUACCGUUCGAAUAGGGCGGU
This 437-nucleotide ribosomal RNA is filed under the name Lactiplantibacillus plantarum. RNAcentral describes it as "bacterial SSU rRNA". It matches the Rfam family "Bacterial small subunit ribosomal RNA", at positions 45 to 476 of the family's 1533-position model. The record is from RNAcentral. Lineage: Bacteria; Bacillati; Bacillota; Bacilli; Lactobacillales; Lactobacillaceae.